RNAcentral lists this ribosomal RNA (253 nucleotides) under uncultured bacterium. Its description in RNAcentral is "partial 16S ribosomal RNA". It matches the Rfam family "Bacterial small subunit ribosomal RNA", at positions 524 to 776 of the family's 1533-position model. The record is from RNAcentral.
CACGUAGGGUGCAAGCGUUGUCCGGAAUUAUUGGGCGUAAAGGGCUCGUAGGCGGUCCGUCACGUCGGGAGUGAAAACUCGGGGCUCAACCCCGAGCCUGCUUUCGAUACGGGCGGACUAGAGGUAGGUAGGGGAGAACGGAAUUCCUGGUGUAGCGGUGGAAUGCGCAGAUAUCAGGAGGAACACCGGUGGCGAAGGCGGAUCUCUGGGCCUGACCUGACGCUGAGGCGCGAAAGCUAGGGGAGCGAACAGG